Alnus glutinosa is the source of this 819-nucleotide long non-coding RNA. RefSeq lists it as uncharacterized. The record is from RefSeq and is a predicted model, not a curated record. The transcript has 2 exons. NCBI's taxonomy places the organism in Eukaryota, Viridiplantae, Streptophyta, Magnoliopsida, Fagales, Betulaceae.
CUUGGCACACUGAUCCUCUCUCUCUCAAGACUUGUCUAUAAAUAAGGAGAGCCACAUUGCAGUAAUUCAUCCUUCACUAAGACAGAGAAUCUUUCUUAGAGUGUGUUUCCCAACUGUACAUUGUCUCCAAUCCCUCUUGUUAACACAAAAAUGGGUUACUCCAAAGACUUUUCCUCUCCUUGCUCUUGUCUUUGCUGUUGUGCUUCUCACCUCUUCCAAUGCCUCUGAGGCAGCUCAAACCGAAGAAAAUGUCCAAACUGACGCUGUGGAGGAGGCCAAGCAUGGUGACCAUAAGCACAAGGAUGGACACAAGCAUGGACAUGGUCACCACGACCAUGGACAUGGACAUGGAGAUGGUCAUGGUCACCCAUGAGGACACAGUGCUGCUGGCGAGACAGAAACCGACCAAAAUUAGAUAAAUCCUUCGUUCUAUGAUGUCUGUCUGAUCAAUGUGUCUAAGUAAUAUGUAACUUAUCUAAGUUUAUAUUCCAAUAAAGUCGCAUUGCAGGUUGUGUAGCUUAUAAACUCCCAACCACAGUAGCAGGUUGUACUUUUUUUUUUUUUUUUCAAAGAAAUAAGAUUCUAAGCAGUUAAUAAAAUGGAAUGUUGAGUUCGUUGUGUUUGAUGGCAUGGCACUUUCUUGAUCUGUUUGAGAGUGAUGACAUCAACCAAGCUCUCCAGCUCUCCAGUCUCAGUCCGUAUGAGAGUUGUCUUGUAGGAAGCAAAACCAAAUUACUUGCAAUAUUGUAAUUUGAUGGAGAGACUCAUCAAAUUCCACAAUCUUCUCCUUCUGAUAUGUCAUUGUCAAUGCACCAUCUA